Molecule: long non-coding RNA, 811 nt
Organism: Oncorhynchus keta (chum salmon)
Lineage: Eukaryota; Metazoa; Chordata; Actinopteri; Salmoniformes; Salmonidae
Exons: 4
Source: RefSeq, a predicted model, not a curated record
UGGGAGAGAGGAGCAAUCAACUUCACCAGGUGAACACAGGGAGAGAGGAGCAAUCAACUUCACCAGGUGAACGCUGGGAGAGAGGAGCAAUCAACUUCACCAGGUGAACGCUGGGAGAGAGGAGCAAUCAACUUCACCAGGUGAACACAGGGAGAGAGGAGCAAUCAACUUCACCAGGUGAACACAGGGAGAGAGGAGCAAUCAACUUCACCAGGUGAACACAGGGAGAGAGGAGCAAUCAACUUCACCAGGUGAACACAGGGAGAGAGGAGCAAUCAACUUCACCAGGUGAACACAGGGAGAGAGGAGCAAUCAACUUCACCAGGUGAACACAGGGAGAGAGGAGCAAUCAACUUCACCAGGUGAACACAGGGAGAGAGGAGCAAUCAACUUCACCAGGUGAACACAGGGAGAGAGGAGCAAUCAACUUCACCAGGUGAACGCUGGGAGAGAGGAGCAAUCAACUUCACCAGGUGAACACAGGGAGAGAGGAGCGCCCUUCUCGUUCCAAAAAGAAUGCAAUCAACUUCACCAGGUGCAAAACAUGCCUACACGGGCACCCGGGCUAAGAUUAAUAGAACCCCCCUUUACAGAAAACAAAUGUACAUGUUCCAUUGUUCAGUACAACAUAAUAUCACAAUCUAUUGGUCAGUCUACACUAAUAAUAAUUGGUUAGAUUCAUGGAAGUCAUCCAACCUAACGUUUGAUGUUAUUUUAGUGUUUUCACAUUCCAUUGGUCAGUGCAACAUGCACUCAGAAUCAAUUGGUCUUUCUACAAAUGUUUUAACCUAUCACAUGUUUUUAUUAGCAU